AGCGAACGCUGGCGGCAGGCCUAAUACAUGCAAGUCGAGCGCACCUUCGGGUGAGCGGCGGACGGGUGAGUAACGCGUGGGAACGUGCCCUUUGGUACGGGAUAACUGAGGGAAACUUCAGCUAAUACCGUAUGUGCCCUACGGGGGAAAGAUUUAUCGCCAUUGGAGCGGCCCGCGUUGGAUUAGGUAGUUGGUGGGGUAAAGGCCCACCAAGCCGACGAUCCAUAGCUGGUCUGAGAGGAUGAUCAGCCACACUGGGACUGAGACACGGCCCAGACUCCUACGGGAGGCAGCAGUAGGGAAUCUUGCGCAAUGGGCGAAAGCCUGACGCAGCCAUGCCGCGUGAAUGAUGAAGGUCUUAGGAUUGUAAAAUUCUUUCACCGGGGAAGAUAAUGACGGUACCCGGAGAAGAAGCCCCGGCUAACUUCGUGCCAGCAGCCGCGGUAAUACGAAGGGGGCUAGCGUUGCUCGGAAUUACUGGGCGUAAAGGGCGCGUAGGCGGAUGUUUAAGUCGGGGGUGAAAGCCCGGGGCUCAACCUCGGAAUUGCCUUCGAUACUGGACAUCUUGAGUACGGGAGAGGUGAG
RNAcentral lists this ribosomal RNA (585 nucleotides) under uncultured Alphaproteobacteria bacterium. RNAcentral's name for it is "bacterial SSU rRNA". It matches the Rfam family "Bacterial small subunit ribosomal RNA", at positions 28 to 661 of the family's 1533-position model. The record is from RNAcentral. Lineage: Bacteria; Pseudomonadati; Pseudomonadota; Alphaproteobacteria.